UGAGGAAUAUUGGUCAAUGGGCGGAAGCCUGAACCAGCCAAGUAGCGUGCAGGAUGACGGCCCUAUGGGUUGUAAACUGCUUUUAUGCGGGGAUAAAAGGAUUCACGUGUGGAUUUUUGCAGGUACCGCAUGAAUAAGGACCGGCUAAUUCCGUGCCAGCAGCCGCGGUAAUACGGAAGGUCCGGGCGUUAUCCGGAUUUAUUGGGUUUAAAGGGAGCGUAGGCCGCCCCUUAAGCGUGUUGUGAAAUGCGGGUGCUCAACAUCCGACUUGCAGCGCGAACUGGGGGGCUUGAGUGCGCCGAAAGUAGGCGGAAUUCGUGGUGUAGCGGUGAAAUGCUUAGAUAUCACGAAGAACUCCGAUUGCGAAGGCAGCUUACUGUAGCGCAACUGACGCUGAUGCUCGAAAGCGUGGGUAUCGAACAGGAUUAGAUACCCUGGUAGUCCACGCGGUAAACGAUGGAUGCUCGUUGUCGGCCUUUAUGGUCAGUGACCAAGCGAAAGCGUUAAGCAUCCCACCUGGGGAGUACGCCGGCAACGGUG
RNAcentral lists this ribosomal RNA (540 nucleotides) under uncultured bacterium. Its description in RNAcentral is "bacterial SSU rRNA". It matches the Rfam family "Bacterial small subunit ribosomal RNA", at positions 355 to 896 of the family's 1533-position model. The record is from RNAcentral.